Molecule: ribosomal RNA, 496 nt
Filed under: uncultured bacterium
Lineage: Bacteria
Description: partial 16S ribosomal RNA
Rfam family: Bacterial small subunit ribosomal RNA
Source: RNAcentral
AUGCACGCUGGCGGCGUGCCUCAUCCAUGCCAGUCGCGCGAACAGAUAAGGAGCUUGCUCCUUUGACGUUAGCGGCGGACGGGUGAGUAACACGUGGGUAACCUACCUAUAAGACUGGGAUAACUUCGGGAAACCGGAGCUAAUACCGGAUAACAUUUGGAACCGCAUGGUUCUAAAGUGAAAGAUGGUUUUGCUAUCACUUAUAGAUGGACCCGCGCCGUAUUAGCUAGUUGGUAAGGUAACGGCUUACCAAGGCGACGAUACGUAGCCGACCUGAGAGGGUGAUCGGCCACACUGGAACUGAGACACGGUCCAGACUCCUACGGGAGGCAGCAGUAGGGAAUCUUCCGCAAUGGGCGAAAGCCUGACGGAGCAACGCCGCGUGAGUGAUGAAGGGUUUCGGCUCGUAAAACUCUGUUAUUAGGGAAGAACAAAUGUGUAAGUAACUGUGCACGUCUUGACGGUACCUAAUCAGAAAGCCACGGCUAACUACGUG